Molecule: transfer RNA, 71 nt
Filed under: Cordylochernes scorpioides
Lineage: Eukaryota; Metazoa; Arthropoda; Arachnida; Pseudoscorpiones; Chernetidae
Description: tRNA-Gly
Rfam family: tRNA
About the family: Transfer RNA (tRNA) molecules are approximately 80 nucleotides in length. Their secondary structure includes four short double-helical elements and three loops (D, anti-codon, and T loops).
Source: RNAcentral
CCAUCGGUGGUUCAGUGGUAGAAUGCUCGCCUGCCACCCGGGCGGCCCGGGUUCGAUUCCCGGUCGAUGCA